RNAcentral lists this long non-coding RNA (263 nucleotides) under Fukomys damarensis (Damara mole-rat). RNAcentral's name for it is "lncRNA (ENSFDAG00000025472.1)". The record is from RNAcentral. Lineage: Eukaryota; Metazoa; Chordata; Mammalia; Rodentia; Bathyergidae.
GUGGGGGGUUAGCAUGGCGCCGCGGCUGGACGGUGCGGUGGGGGAUGGGAGGUGAGGGUUUGCCCAGGUGUCCAGCUGUUCGAAGCUGGUGCAGAGCCAGACCCAAGGGCCCUGGCUCCCAGCUGCCCGCUGCAGCCCCAUGCCUGCACGGCCUCCCGCUAAUGAAAGUGUUACUCCACGAAGCAGCAAGAUGUGGCCCCGGCUCUCAGCAAGCAGGCGCUGUGCUGACACAGACUGAGCAGUGAAUCAGAAAGCACCAGGAG